AACUUUCAAUAACGGAUCUCUUAAUUCUAAUAUUAAUAAAGAACGUAGCGAAAUAUAAUAAAUAAUAUAAAUUACAAAAUUCAAUAAAUUAUCGAAUCUUUAAACGUAUAUUAUACUUAUUAAUAUUCUAAUAAAUAUACCUAUUUGAGCGUUA
RNAcentral lists this ribosomal RNA (154 nucleotides) under Neurospora crassa OR74A. Its description in RNAcentral is "Neurospora crassa rRNA NCU17378". It matches the Rfam family "5.8S ribosomal RNA". Rfam says of the family: 5.8S ribosomal RNA (5.8S rRNA) is a component of the large subunit of the eukaryotic ribosome. Lineage: Eukaryota; Fungi; Ascomycota; Sordariomycetes; Sordariales; Sordariaceae. The record is from Rfam by way of RNAcentral.